UCCAAAUGCUGUAUUUUCACAUGGCAGGAUACAAAACAGGAAGCAAGAAGUCAGUAGCAAAAGGAUGUUGGAUUUUUCUUCAUGUGCCUUCCCUUUUCAGGGAUGAAACAGUUUCCAAAAGCUCCCAGGAGACAUCCUCUUACAUCUUAUUAGUGAGAUCUGAAUCUCAUGUCAGUCACUGGCAAAGGAGAAUAGCUGUGUCAUGAUCACCUGAGACCAACGAUGAUUCCUGAAUAAAAUCCAAAAGGAGAGAGGGGCCCCUGGGCAGGCCAGCAUCCGUGUUUGCUGCAAACAGUAGUACCCGGUGCCUUGCUUCUCCCUUAACCUCUACUUGGGCAUCUUUGGGGCACUUUUGGGAAUCUGUGGGUUUAGAAGAAGAUAAAGGGAGGUGGCUUUGAGAAAUAGGGACAUUUCUUCUACUCACAUCUGGCCUGUUUCCCGAGUCACCUUGGGACUUCCUUUCACUUCCCAAACCCAGGGUCUUGAGUCCCCCUCCUUCUCCUGUAGAAUAUUCCAGCCCUCUUUCUGUUCUUCCUCCCUCUUUGUUGCUAUGGUACCUCCCUAUUCUCAAAGCCUAGGACUUCACUCCUAUUUAGUUCAGCUACCUAUGAGCUAAAUAGGACUGGAAGGUCAACUUUAGGUCAACCAGCAUUUAUAACUUAAUUGGAAGAGGCCUUAAAGGUAAGUUUGUCCAGCCCUUCACCCCGUACAGAAACCUCUCCAAAGCACCCCUGACCUUGGUGCUUAAACAUACACGUGAAGGGUUGCUCUGGGCAGGCAGAGAAGUCUUGUUGGCUCUCUGGCCCCACCUAAGUCCUGGGAACUUCCUCUGGCCACAACUUGGAAGGGCCAUACCUGGGUCUCAGGAAGGACAUCUCCUGAACUUUCUAGCUGAGCCCUGCCAGAAGAGAGAUUAGACUCCCGAAAUUGGGAGAGCCUUUGGAAAACAAAACCUGCGGAUGACUUCUAAUAGCUGAGCUCUGCAAGUAGUACACAUGGAUAUAAUUUGCAUUUAUUAUGUCCCUUAGGUAAUACACACUUUUUAGUCUGGUGAGGGGAAGACCAGUACUUUUGUCAUAUUUUAUGUGGGGAAAGUGUAUUACCAAAGCCUUUAGGGAUCUGUGCAAGAUCAAAAAGAGCCGUCAGAACGGAGUUGGAAAGGACUUGGAGAUCAUUUAAAGGAAGUCAUCAUUUUAAAGAGCAUAGGCACGGGGCUCAGGGACAUAGAGCAGUGUAGCGGCGUGACAGCCUCACAGUCCUGUGUUGAGACCGGAUUCCGUGGGACCCUCUUUCAAGCUGUCAGAGCAUCUUUAACAGAAGGUCAUAAUCUCCUGACAGACCUAGCCCUUCUAGAUAAGGGGCCAGAAUAGUUUCUUACGAAGUAUUUGGGUGAUUGGAUAGUUUUAGAUGAUCUAAAAUGCUGCAUCAGGGAAUAUCUAGCUUUUUGCUUUACUGUCAUCAGCUUUGAUCAAUACACGGGUUGUUGCCAAGUCCUCGUAUUUUGCUCCUUAAAAUAACAUGUAGGAUUUUUUCCUUGUUUGCUUCACCUGAUUUAUUGGGCGAUCUCUUUGUCUUGUCUAGAUCACUGUCGUCUUCCUGAAAGAUGAGAAGUACCAUUCUUUGCCUAUCAUCAUUAAAGGCAGCGUUGGUGGACUUCUGGUGUUGAUCGUGAUUCUGGUCAUCCUGUUCAAGUGUGGCUUUUUUAAAAGAAAAUAUCAACAACUGAACUUGGAGAGCAUCAGGAAGGCCCAGCUGAAAUCAGAGAAUCUGCUCGAAGAAGAGAAUUAGGACCUGCUAUCCACUGGGAGAGGCUAUCAGCCAGUCCUGGGACUUGGAGACCCAGCAUCCUUUGCAUUACUUUUUCCUUCAGGAUGAUCUAGAGCAGCAUGGAGCUGUUGGUAGAAUAUUAGUUUUUAACCAUACAUUGUCCCAAAAGUGUCUGUGCAUUGUGCAAAAAGUAAACUUAGGAAACAUUUGGUAUU
RNAcentral lists this long non-coding RNA (1982 nucleotides) under Homo sapiens (human). Its description in RNAcentral is "non-protein coding lnc-P2RX5-3:1". Lineage: Eukaryota; Metazoa; Chordata; Mammalia; Primates; Hominidae. The record is from RNAcentral.